Non-coding RNA from Paramuricea clavata, 898 nucleotides. The record is from the annotation of a GenBank genome assembly. NCBI's taxonomy places the organism in Eukaryota, Metazoa, Cnidaria, Anthozoa, Malacalcyonacea, Plexauridae.
UAACUGUAUAAAUAUAUAUAUCCAGUAUAGUAUAGUAUAAUAUGAUAUACCAUGGACAUUGGACAUAAUUUAAUAUGUUUAUAGUUCAAAUUUUGCAACAAAAGGUGGAAUUACAGUAUUAAACAUGCAUGUGAUAAUUAUUGUAAACAAAGUGACGAGUAAAUUACUGUACAUUUUAACGCCGCAUACUUAUAAAUAUUAAAUAGUCAGUAUAACAUUGUAAAACAAGCUUAACACAAACAAUAUGCACUGAAUAUUAUCAGAAUAAUUCUCAAUAUUGUUUCAUGAAAGAGAAGCGAUAUAUAAAUGCCUUGUCCCUAGGUUUCGGUCUGCGAAUUUGUUCAGUCAGACAAGCCCAGGAGACUUAAUAGCCUAGAAUUAGUCAGACAAGCCCAGGACACAAUAAAGCAUGCAAACUUUUAGUAUUCGUCUUUAUAUGAAUACUAUAGUAUUUUACUGUAAAAAGUCAACAAGGAUACAAAAUACAUGACACUUUUAAUAUCUCUACAUUGCCGCAAUUCCGAAGCUUUGCGUUGGUCGGUUUUACAAACGGGAAGUGUAGUUUAUGGAAGCUUGUCAAUCACUUCAUUUGAAUCAGUUAUCAACCGAUCAGAGCUCUGCGUCCAAAUAUUGGACGCAUGCACGUAAAUAUCAUAGGGAUCCUUGCAGGCUCUCUUUCACCCAGAGAGCCUGCUCGCAGGCUAGGCCGGCCUGGACGGCUGGACCAGGGCUCAGUUAAACUAGAAAGCCCUGGGAACGAGGUUGGUACUUGUCGAGAAAGAGUUUUAAAUGAUUUAAAAUUUUAAAUUUAUUUCAUUUCAAAGUGCGAGUAAUAAGUUGAAGCUCGAGUUGAAGAGUUUAUCGGCAAAAAGCAGUUCAAUUCCCGUUUAUUGUGUUG